RNAcentral lists this ribosomal RNA (311 nucleotides) under uncultured eukaryote. Its description in RNAcentral is "partial 18S ribosomal RNA". It matches the Rfam family "Eukaryotic small subunit ribosomal RNA", at positions 1470 to 1796 of the family's 1831-position model. The record is from RNAcentral.
CCCUUAGAUGUUCUGGGCCGCACGCGCGCUACACUGAUGCAUUCAACGAGCCUAUCCUUGACCGACAGGUCCGGGUAAUCUUUGAAUCUGCAUCGUGACGGGGAUAGAUUAUUGCAAUUAUUAAUCUUCAACGAGGAAUGCCUAGUAGGCGCAAGUCAUCAGCUUGCGUCGAUUACGUCCCUGCCCUUUGUACACACCGCCCGUCGCUCCUACCGAUGGAUCGUCCGGUGAAGCUCAUGGAGGGGCGGUUGUCUCAGCUGCCGUCGAAGUGAAAUGGACCUCACGAUCUAGAGGAAGGAGAAGUCGUAACA